RNAcentral lists this ribosomal RNA (465 nucleotides) under Vreelandella stevensii. Its description in RNAcentral is "partial 16S ribosomal RNA". It matches the Rfam family "Bacterial small subunit ribosomal RNA", at positions 338 to 795 of the family's 1533-position model. Lineage: Bacteria; Pseudomonadati; Pseudomonadota; Gammaproteobacteria; Oceanospirillales; Halomonadaceae. The record is from RNAcentral.
CCUACGGGAGGCAGCAGUGGGGAAUAUUGGACAAUGGGGGCAACCCUGAUCCAGCCAUGCCGCGUGUGUGAAGAAGGCCCUCGGGUUGUAAAGCACUUUCAGUGAGGAAGAACGCCUGGUGGUUAAUACCCAUCAGGAAAGACAUCACUCACAGAAGAAGCACCGGCUAACUCCGUGCCAGCAGCCGCGGUAAUACGGAGGGUGCGAGCGUUAAUCGGAAUUACUGGGCGUAAAGCGCGCGUAGGUGGCUUGAUAAGCCGGUUGUGAAAGCCCCGGGCUCAACCUGGGAACGGCAUCCGGAACUGUCAAGCUAGAGUGCAGGAGAGGAAGGUAGAAUUCCCGGUGUAGCGGUGAAAUGCGUAGAGAUCGGGAGGAAUACCAGUGGCGAAGGCGGCCUUCUGGACUGACACUGACACUGAGGUGCGAAUGCGUGGGUAGCAAACAGGAUUAGAUACCCCAGUAGUC